GCAGAGGUAGCGAAGUGGAUAAACGCGGCCGCCUCAAGAGCGGCUCCCAUUAGGGGUUCGGGGGUUCGAAUCCCUCCCUCUGCA
Molecule: transfer RNA, 84 nt
Filed under: Candidatus Rehaiarchaeum fermentans
Lineage: Archaea; Nanobdellati; Candidatus Parvarchaeota
Description: tRNA-Leu
Rfam family: tRNA
About the family: Transfer RNA (tRNA) molecules are approximately 80 nucleotides in length. Their secondary structure includes four short double-helical elements and three loops (D, anti-codon, and T loops).
Source: RNAcentral